This is a long non-coding RNA of Gallus gallus (chicken), 1575 nucleotides long. NCBI's taxonomy places the organism in Eukaryota, Metazoa, Chordata, Aves, Galliformes, Phasianidae. The record is from Ensembl.
GUUUCUAAGCCUUCAGUACUGCCAGCAAAGAUCUUCUCUGCUGCAUAGAAACACAAGAAUUUUGCUUCCCUAGAUUUACGGGGCUGAAAUUAGGCCAGGGAUUUAUCAUUUCUGGAAAACAGAAGGGAUAGGGUGAACUGUGACAGCCUGAUUUGCAGGAUGGAGGUGGUGUAUGCUGUAGGUUUGGUUAAGGCCUCCUAUCCCAUGCUCUCCCUAAAGGACUGAAGGAGUGACUGGAUUUCCAGGUCACUGUAUAGGUUUUCUUAUACAGAAUAGGCAGCUGGGUCUGCUUGCUUUUACAUGUUUUUACACUCUUCUGCCUUAGCAAGUGCUCACCCCUACUGAGGGCCAGCCUGUCCUGUAGGCAGUCACCUUUCCUGCAAGAAACUCUCCUGUACCUACAAGCUGAAAAGAGAAACCUUAUCCUGCCCUAACAGAGCUCCUAAGGACUGUGCAUUAACUACUGUGCAGUAGUGUAAGAGCUUCAUGACUUUGUGUCUUUAGAUCUUGUCUGUUAUAACCCAGCUUGACCAAAAACAUCACCACGCAAAUUCUUUUUUUCUGAUAAAGCCACAGGACAGUGUAAUUCUGGCGGUAUCUCUGAGGAGAUUACUAGAAAGUAGGGUACAUGGUGCCAUACCUGGCAUACAUGCCUUUUGGCAGCCACAAAGUCACGAAUAAGAUUCUAAAAGCUCCAGAAACUUGUGAACUCAUUCUCAGUGGAUAUGCUGACCCAGCAAGUCCGGGUGUCCUGAAGUCUCUACUGUUUGGUGGCUCUGAAACAAUUGACAUGGCACAGGCUGGCAUGGGCUUACUUCCAUGAAUGCUGGAGCUAAGCUACAGUGCACAUUUGCAGACUGGGCAGGUCUGAGGUACUUUGAAUAGGGCAGUAGGAAGGAUCUACUACUGUGUGGGAUUCAUCAUCACCGCAGACCAGGACAGGCAGUAGAGUGAUGUGUGUGUGCUGGGGUGUAAGAAUAACCCAAAGGGCUGAGGAUGUACAUGGGAGACAUGAACAAUUUGGGUAAAUGCCAGUGAUAUACAAUGCGAAUUGCCUGGCUGCAUAACCAGUUAUGCAAUGCUGGACAGUGUGGACAACAGCAUGUUUCUGCCAUCUACUCCCACACAAUGAUGACCCAUUUGGAGUCCUCACUAGUCUCUGAUGAGAACCAGCUCACCCACACCUGCCAAAGGCUGCUGAAGGAAGGCCAGAUGUGUAGGCGUCUUACUGCUCUAUCUUUCUUCAGUCAUAUUGUGCAGAGCCUCCAAAAGUUUCCAUGCUCUGCCUUAAAGCAGCUUCAUGAUAUGGUGACUAGUGCUGGGAAAAAAAAAAAAUUAAAAGCAGUUGAGCCAUGGCUUCAAGGUGCUAUGUAAUGAACUGAAAGCUUUACUGAGCUUCACUCAGCCUGGCUAAAAAUCUGGGCAGAAAGCAAUUCUGCCCUGAUACAAUCUUGAUGCUGCACCUGAAAAUUCAUUUUAUUAGAAUAGUUAAUGCAGAGUACCUUAUGUGGGCUCAUGGUUGGAUCUCAAAUUAAAGGAAUUUAAAUACCCUUCAGCACAUUUCUGUAAAUUUAU